UACGGAGGGGGCUAGCGUUGUUCGGAAUUACUGGGCGUAAAGCGCACGUAGGCGGCUUUGUAAGUUAGAGGUGAAAGCCCGGGGCUCAACUCCGGAAUUGCCUUUAAGACUGCAUCGCUAGAAUUGUGGAGAGGUAAGUGGAAUUCCGAGUGUAGAGGUGAAAUUCGUAGAUAUUCGGAAAAACACCAGUGGCGAAGGCGACUUACUGGACACAUAUUGACGCUGAGGUGGCGAAAAGCGUGGGGAGCAAACAGGG
This 256-nucleotide ribosomal RNA is filed under the name uncultured bacterium. RNAcentral's name for it is "partial 16S ribosomal RNA". It matches the Rfam family "Bacterial small subunit ribosomal RNA", at positions 524 to 777 of the family's 1533-position model. The record is from RNAcentral.